This 359-nucleotide ribosomal RNA is filed under the name uncultured Prevotella sp. RNAcentral describes it as "bacterial SSU rRNA". It matches the Rfam family "Bacterial small subunit ribosomal RNA", at positions 352 to 708 of the family's 1533-position model. The record is from RNAcentral. Lineage: Bacteria; Pseudomonadati; Bacteroidota; Bacteroidia; Bacteroidales; Prevotellaceae.
UGAGGGAAUAUUUGGGUCAAUGGACGGGAGUCUGAACCAGCCAAGUAGCGUGCAGGAUGACGGCCCUAUGGGUUGUAAACUGCUUUUAUAGGGGGAUAAAGUGUGCCACGUGUGGCAUAUUGCAGGUACCCUAUGAAUAAGGACCGGCUAAUUCCGUGCCAGCAGCCGCGGUAAUACGGAAGGUCCGGGCGUUAUCCGGAUUUAUUGGGUUUAAAGGGAGCGUAGGCCGUCUUAUAAGCGUGUUGUGAAAUGUCGGGGCUCAACCUGGGCAUUGCAGCGCGAACUGUGAGACUUGAGUGCGCAGGAAGUAGGCGGAAUUCGUCGUGUAGCGGUGAAAUGCUUAGAUAUGACGAAGAACU